Molecule: ribosomal RNA, 678 nt
Filed under: Triticum aestivum (bread wheat)
Lineage: Eukaryota; Viridiplantae; Streptophyta; Magnoliopsida; Poales; Poaceae
Description: partial small subunit ribosomal RNA
Source: RNAcentral
AUGCCGAUGGGGACCUUGCCGCCGGCGCGCCCGAGCCGCGUGCGGUGGUUUCCGGAGGGGCUCCUCAUGGUGGUGGUGAUUGGUUCGCUGCUGCUGAUCGAAAUCAAGCUGGAGUCCUCGGAAAUAAAGCUCGCGGGUGUCCCAGAUCUGGAGCUCAAGCUCCUUCUUCCCCACUUCUUCUCGAGCUGCCAUGGAGGUGGACUGGAAGAAGCGGGAGGAAGGGGAUUUAGUUGCUCUAUCCUUUCUGCGUGUCCUUGGAGCCUAAGUUUUGCAGCAAAUGGUGGGGGAUCUCGGUGCAAAGAGCAUCAGGAGGUUCUCGCCACUGCGCCGCUGCACCUUCUGGUCGAAAGGCGACCACUCGGAGUUCCGGCGACGGCGUCUGGCUCCUCUAUUUCCUCCUGGCCGUCGAGCCAUAUGGGAGGCAGUUUACUAGGUUCUUCGUCUGGUACUUCAACUGUCUACCUCCGGUUGUGCGCUGGUGGUGCUGUAGCCAUUCCUCUGCCCCAAGUGGUUUCGUCCCCGGUGGUGGUGGGAUCGGGCCAGGAUCGAAGACGGCGAAGAGGACUCGAUUGCUUUUCAGUUUUGUUGUCUGGGGUACUAUCUACAAAAAUGUCUGGCUUGGACUGUAAUUUUCUCUUUCUGUUGGGCCUUUAUGUAAGAUGUUGCAUGCUUAUCUAA